AUGGUUCUCAAAGCCGAAUCGUUUUUCUUUCAAAUUUGUUCUCGUUUAAUCAUUGAUGAUAGACUAAGAAAAUUAGGGUUUUUUAUUUUUGGUUUUUGAUAAAGAGAAAGAUGCCUCUUCUUUCAGCAGCAAGAUUAUUCUUGUUAGCUUUGUUCUGGAGGCACAGAUCAAUCGCCAUUAUGAGAGGGAUUUUUUUAUAAUUUGCAGAGUUGUUCUUCCUUCUUUGCUGAUUAUCCCUCUUUGUGGUACAUAA
RNAcentral lists this small RNA (253 nucleotides) under Arabidopsis thaliana (thale cress). RNAcentral's name for it is "ATSL075250". The stretch from base 42 to 168 matches the Rfam family "Brassica rapa small nucleolar RNA 775". From Rfam's summary of the family: Name based on close proximity to miR775. Precursors of both are encoded by a single gene sno-miR775. The record is from RNAcentral. Lineage: Eukaryota; Viridiplantae; Streptophyta; Magnoliopsida; Brassicales; Brassicaceae.